CUGGUUUUCCAUUCAACAAACAUCCAUAUUCACCAUUAAUUUUAGCACCAAAAUAAUUCAUUUCUCGAUCACCAACGAACUUGAUCUCCACCACCUUAGAGUUGAACUUGACAAAUUUCGACACAUCAAAAUGUUGAGCAUAAGAAUACAAAUAUUCCAAUAUUUCCUCAUAAGUAGGGAAACUCAUAUUAUCCCUCUGACUCCAUAGGAAAUCAGAAAACUCAUAGUCACAACGAGGAGUCUGCAAUUUAGUAGACCAACACAUCAAAAUGUUGAGCAUAGGAAUACAAAUAUUCCAAUAUUUCCUCAUAAGUAGGGAAACUCAUAUUAUCCCUCUGACUCCAUGGGAAAUCAGAAAACUCAUAGUCACAACGAGG
Molecule: long non-coding RNA, 377 nt
Filed under: Nicotiana benthamiana
Lineage: Eukaryota; Viridiplantae; Streptophyta; Magnoliopsida; Solanales; Solanaceae
Description: long non-coding RNA (NBEN_LNC034877)
Source: RNAcentral